GGAUUCAGUUAGUAGCUUUUUGAUGCGGCGCAAGCCAAAUCGAGAAGUAGUUGGUUGACCGUAAUUAGGAGAAAUCCUUCCAGCUGCACUGAUUGGAUUCAGAGUUUAAUCAACCCCCUGUGAACUAUAAACCCGUACUGUUAUUGUCUUUUGGGUGGUACUGAAGCUGUUUACAGUCGAUGUGCUGCCCAGAAGCGAUAGCGCUUUAUUGAACUACUAAACGAAUUAUAUCUAUACGCAAAAUCUCUUUAUUAUUUAAUAAUAAUAAUUGACAACUUUUAACAGUGGAUCUCUAGGCUCGUGGAUCGAUGAAGAGCGCAGCAAAAUGCGAUACGUAAUGUGAAUUGCAGAAUUCAGUGAAUCAUCGAAUCCUUGAACGCAAAUUGCGGUGUUGGGUAUUCCCGGCACCAUGCUUGGUUGAGUGUCACUUAAUCUAACAAAAUUCAAUUUAUUUUGGGUAUUGUUACAGAUGAGGUUACGAGGCGUCUAUUUAAUAGAACUUCGAACCUUUAAUGACUAGCAAGACGCAUGACUUUUGAAGUUCAUUGCAGCUACUUGUGUGGCAAUAUUGUUUCGACAAUUUAAAGCGCAUGUUGGCUCAGUGGAUGUUAAUUCUUAAAUCAUUGCUGUUCUUACAAAUCUGACUCUAUAUGUCUUCGGACUUAGAAUUUUGACCUCAGCUCA
RNAcentral lists this ribosomal RNA (684 nucleotides) under Sphaeroforma tapetis. RNAcentral describes it as "eukaryotic LSU rRNA". The stretch from base 274 to 427 matches the Rfam family "5.8S ribosomal RNA". The record is from RNAcentral. Lineage: Eukaryota; Ichthyosporea; Ichthyophonida.